This 2217-nucleotide transfer RNA is filed under the name Phocoena sinus (vaquita). RNAcentral describes it as "lncRNA (ENSPSNG00000006638.1)". Lineage: Eukaryota; Metazoa; Chordata; Mammalia; Artiodactyla; Phocoenidae. The record is from RNAcentral.
GUGUUCUCAUUUAUUUAGAAGUUGGAGGAAGGAUGCUUCCUGUUUGAUUGGCUGCUGGAGACCAGCUGGGACAAUAGAGAAAUUCUCUAGACCAUUAGAAUAGAUUUUAUCGUCAAGAGAAGGAGGACAGGGCUUCCCUGGUGGCGCAGUGGUUGAGAAUCUGCCUGCUAAUGCAGGGGACACGGGUUCGAGCCCUGGUCUGGGAGGAUCCCACAUGCCUCGGAGCAACUAGGCCCGUGAGCCACAACUACUGAGCCUGCGCAUCUGGAGCCUGUGCUCUGCAACAAGAGAGGCCGCGAUAGUGAGAGGCCCAUGCACCGCGAUGAAGAGUGGCCCCUGCUUGCCACAACUAGAGUAACCCCUCUCUCAGAAACGAAGACCCAACACAGCAAAAAUAAAUAAAUUAAUAAACUCCUACCCCCAAAAUCUUCAUUAAAAAAAAAAAGGACAAAGUAGCUAAUUAGGGAAACAGGAAACCUCAAACAACGUGUUCUUUUGAGUUUUUACUGUAAAAGCCAGGAAAUUUCAUAUGGCUCAGUGGCAUAAAGGUUAGGCAUUAGGACAAAUAGCCAUGGAGGGGGGAACCUGGCCAGGUGAGGUUACUCCUCCCGAUAAGAGAGAUAAAGACCAUCUUCCCCUGGGAUCUGGUGGUGGUUCUUGAAACCUUCACUUCAGGCUGGGACAGGAAGAACAGCCUGCUGCUGUGAAAUGAUAAGCCAUCGAGGUUUGAAGGUGUGACUAGGAGCUGUGUGCUAAGCCUCUAGCUGACGAAGUUAAUAUCAGCAGGAAGGGACGGGUAAAAGGUGUGGUUUCCUAAAUGAAGAACGCCUUUAAGCAGCUAGGAAGGUCUGGCUCAUAGAAACAGACUUAAAGAAAUGAAUUUCUUUUCACUGGAAGAUUAUAGGUCUUCACGUGAGAGAUGAGUGAUCAAGAAGGGACUUAUUCCAUCCUGAGAUUUCUUCGGUCACCUUCGGAGUCACAAAAUAGAUCAAGGCCUGGUAGUACCCAAAACCCUGGCAAGACUGACGGAAAAGACCAAAAGGCUUGCUGGAUCUUAGUUCCCCGACCAGGGAUGGAACCUGGGCCCCCAGCAGUGGAAACGUGGAGUCCUAACCACUGGACCGCCAGGGAAUUCCCUCAUGAGGAUUUUAAAAGUAAAGGACAGACUAGAGUCUCAAGAAAACAUUGCAGGGGCUUCCUGGGUGGCGCAGUGGUUGAGAAUCCGCCUGCCAAUGCAGGGGACACAGGUUCGAGCCCUGGUCCAGGAGGAUCCCACAUUCCGCAGAGCAACUGGGCGUAUGCGCCACAGCUGCUGGGCCUACGCUCUGGAGCCUGUGAGCCACAAGUCCUGAAGCCUGGGCGCCUGGAGCCCGUGCUCUGCAAAGAGAGAGGCCACCGCAGUGAGAAGCCCGCGCACCGCAAGGAGGAAUGUUUCCCGCUUGCUGCAACUGGAGAGAGCCCGCGCAAUGUUAAUUCUUAAGGGAGGAGACAUUUGGCUCAGGUCACAGAUCUUUUUCAACUUACCCGUGAAUCCCAAGACUCCUGUUGUUAAAAGGAGAAACAGAAGAUUCCAAGAAUCACUAGAGUGGGAAAGCAGGCAAAUGGAACUGAAGACCCUGCCCGGAGAGAAAACAAAGAGGCUGAGGAGACCAGCAGGGGAAAGACUGAGUUACAGGGCUUAGAGGGGGACGUUCCGUAAAUUCAAGACCCUAACUCUUGAAUGUCUUCAAACUUGAAAUCAUAAAUUGAAAGGGAUACUGGACAAUUUGAAACAUCAACGGACUGGGAGUUAGAUGCCAGGGUUCUACUCCCUAUUCUGCUACUAUAUACCUCUGAGGGAAGUCACUUAUUCUAUCUUUACCAAAAUACUCCUCUGAUUCAUCUCCAUGAUUUAUGAAUACAAAGUGAAUACUAGAUAUGAGGACUUGGUUUUUGAGAUGCAAACAUACUUCUAAAUAAAACAUAUCUGGGGCUUCCCUGGUGGCGCAGUGGUUGAGAAUCUGCCUGCCGAUGCAGCGGACACGGGUUCGAGCCCUGGUCUGGGAAGAUCCCACAUGCCGCGGAGCAACUGGGCCCGUGAGCCACAACUACUGAGCCUGCGCGUCUGGAGCCUGUGCUGCGCAACAAGAGAGGCCGCGAUAGUGAGAGGCCCGCGCACCGCUAUGAAGAGUGGCCCCUGCUUACCACAACUAGAGAAAGCUCUCACACAGAAACGAA